ACCAGCCGGUUUCUCCCGAUGGAAGGCGCCCAAAGACACCGAAAGCCUCGCGAGCCCUUCCUCUCCGCCGCAGCCCGCCGCCUCCCAGCCUCCGCUCCCCUCCAACAACGGGUGAUGAAUUCAAAGAGAUCCAUAACCCAAAAAAAAACAUGCACAUAUGAGGCAGAAUUUUAGGUAUUAAUGUUGAUUUUUUGAUGAACCCCCUGAUCUCGGUGGUAGUUCUUGGAAUUUUGAGGCUGAGAGUCUGAUCCCAGUAGAGCCUCGUUGACCGUUAGGCUCUAGGACAUGUGAUGGUUGCCUAUUUGUCUGUAGGGCUCUUGGACAUGGGAUUGGAUGAAUUGGUCUGUUCCUCUUGGCUCUUCCCAAGAAGACAGAACCUUCAAGAUCUUUUCUAUGGAAGAAGCCCUACUGUUGUUCUUUGGAGCUGUAGGCUGGUGAGUGUAUUCAGAGGUUUCACUCAGCAAAAGCUUCGGAGAAGAGCAUCAAAUGAGUCAAAAAAAUAUCUAAACAUGAGUAUGUUUUGUCCCAUCUGUAGACCAUGAAGAAAUGAUUAAAGCAAGCAGAAGUAGAGCAAGGCAGAGAAUGUUAUCCUUUUUGUGCAUUUUAUUCUGCAGUGAAUUUUUCAGACAGCAUCAAGAUUUUAAUCUAGCUACUGUAAACAAGCCGAAGAGGUUGCUGUAGCCUUGAAGCUGCUAUAUGAUUUGAUCCAGGAGCAAAGGAAUUUGCUGGUUUCAACUUUUGGGGAGAGCAAAUAGAGGCAAAAUCGGCUCUGUAGUUAAACUAAGCUUAGUUUUAAUCAGUGUGUAUGUUAAUUGUCUGCUUGAGGCUUAUGUAUAAAUAACUUAAAUAUUAUAAGUUUUGAGUUGUAAAUUCGGAAGAAGAACCUUAUUUGUAACUUUUGGUGGUUUGUAUGAAUAUAUAUGAUAUUUUGUUUGAUAGUCUAGUUGUUUA
Non-coding RNA from Phoenix dactylifera (date palm), 951 nucleotides. NCBI's taxonomy places the organism in Eukaryota, Viridiplantae, Streptophyta, Magnoliopsida, Arecales, Arecaceae. The record is from RefSeq and is a predicted model, not a curated record.